This 348-nucleotide unclassified non-coding RNA is filed under the name soil metagenome. RNAcentral describes it as "partial contains 5.8S ribosomal RNA, internal transcribed spacer 2, and large subunit ribosomal RNA". The stretch from base 1 to 120 matches the Rfam family "5.8S ribosomal RNA", at positions 35 to 154 of the family's 154-position model. The record is from RNAcentral.
GAUGAAGAACGCAGUGAAAUGCGAUAAGUAAUGUGAAUUGCAGAAUUCAGUGAAUCAUCGAAUCUUUGAACGCACAUUGCGCCCGCCAGUAUUCUGGCGGGCAUGCCUGUCUGAGCGUCAUUUCAACCCUCACGCCCCUAGGGCGUGGUGUUGGGGAUCGGCCAAAGCCCGCGAGGGACGGCCGGCCCCUAAAUCUAGUGGCGGACCCGUCGUGGCCUCCUCUGCGAAGUAGUGAUAUUCCGCAUCGGAGAGCGAUGAGCCCCUGCCGUUAAACCCCCAACUUUCCAAGGUUGACCUCAGAUCAGGUAGGAAUACCCGCUGAACUUAAGCAUAUCAAUAAGCGGAGGA